ACCCUUGUAGCUCAACUGGAUCGAGCACUGGUCUUCGAAACCAGUAAUACGGGUUCAAAUCCCGUCAAGGGUA
Molecule: transfer RNA, 73 nt
Filed under: Candidatus Schekmanbacteria bacterium RBG_16_38_10
Lineage: Bacteria; Candidatus Schekmaniibacteriota
Description: tRNA-Arg
Rfam family: tRNA
About the family: Transfer RNA (tRNA) molecules are approximately 80 nucleotides in length.
Source: RNAcentral